AACCAGACUCCUACGGGAGGCAGCAGUGAGGAAUAUUGGUCAAUGGGAGAGAUCCUGAACCAGCCAAGCCGCGUGAGGGAAGACGGUCCUAUGGAUUGUAAACCUCUUUUGUCGGGGAGCAAAAGACGCCACGCGUGGCGUUCCGAGAGUACCCGAAGAAAAAGCAUCGGCUAACUCCGUGCCAGCAGCCGCGGUAAUACGGAGGAUGCGAGCGUUAUCCGGAUUUAUUGGGUUUAAAGGGUGCGCAGGCGGAAGAUCAAGUCAGCGGUAAAAUGUCCGGGCUCAACCCGGGCCGGCCGUUGAAACUGGGGAUCUUGAGUGGGCGAGAAGUAUGCGGGAUGCGUGGUGUAGCGGUGAAAUGCAUAGAUAUCACGCAGAACUCCGAUUGCGAAGGCAGCAUACCGGCGCCCGACUGACGCUGAGGCACGAAAGCGUGGGGAUCGAACAGGAUUAGAUACCCGAGUA
This 465-nucleotide ribosomal RNA is filed under the name uncultured bacterium. RNAcentral describes it as "bacterial SSU rRNA". It matches the Rfam family "Bacterial small subunit ribosomal RNA", at positions 329 to 792 of the family's 1533-position model. The record is from RNAcentral.